UCAUGUAGUUCACUCAGUUGUUGUGAAGUAUAGCUAGUUCACUUAUUAAGCAUUUUAUGCUACAGUUUGUUUUCCUGGUUAUUUGCCUGCUCUUUCUGGAUCAUAUUAGCUGUUUACCGUUUUGGAUUAGUUUGCCUGUUUGGAUAGCUUUGUUACUUACCUGACCUUUGCUUGGAGUCUGGCUACGAUUCUGGGAGUACAUUUAUUUGGAUUAGUUUGCUCUUCAUAUUUUAAUAAAACUCUGCAAAAAUUAUUGUUCAUUAUGUCUCUAGUCACUGGUCAUGCAUUGAACUGAGCCACGGCUGUUCGGGAAAAGGACACAGAUCUACGACAAGGGCUUUACUACUGCCAUGGAAUCAGCAGAGAUGCUCUUCUACCAAGCCUUUCGUAUAUAUGGGCUGCCUGAGACGUUGUGUCAGAUAGGGGGACUCAAUUAACAUCACAGGUAUGACAAGCCUUUUGUACUCAGCUAAACAUCAACCUAAGUCAUACCUCAUGAUUUCACCCUCAGACCAACGGUCAAGAAGAAAAACUAAAUUAGGAGAUCGUCAUUUCCUUCGAUCAUAUUGUAGUAGAAAACAUCAAUGAGUUGAUUCUUAAUGUGGCCAGAGGCUCCCCAUGGUCAGGAGAGCCUUCAAAAGUUCCAGCAGUGGACGACUGGGUUAAGAGGAGCGAGAGAGUUUGGAACGGUGCUCACAUCAAGCUGCAAAAUGCCAUCAGGAGAAAGAUUACAUGCCAACCUUAGGCUGUCAAACAAAGAUCUACAUCUAAGACUUCCAAGCAAGAUAUUAAGUCUGAGGUUCAAGAGUCAUCCCUACCUGAAACUGCUGAGCCCACAACACCACCUCUAUUGGAGAAUGAUAGGUCACCUGCUAAUCUAGUCAAGGAAAUUCUAAAAUUAGACAUCAAGGUUGCAGGAUGUUUUACCUUGUAGUUUGGAAGGGACCCAGAGGAAAGGUCCUGGGUUCCAGCAAAGGACAUUCUUGCCCCUUCACUUAUCAGAGACUUCCAUCUUGAUCACCAAGAUCGGUUAGCUCCUUGACCAACUCCAACUCCUUGUACCACUCCAAGUCACUAGAGGGCACCAUCACCAGAAUAUUGAACUGUUCCAGUAUCUGUUUAGAGUGUAUAAAUAGUCAUUUAUUUCACUCAGUAGUUGGGAAGUAUUGCCAGUUCACUUGCUGCCUCACUGAGUGUUUUAUGCUGCAGUUUUUCCCCCUAGUUAUUGUCUGUUUGCCUGCUCUUUAUGGAUUAUGUUUGCUGUUUACUGUUUUGAUUUAGUUUGCCUGUUCGGAUACCUUUGUUACUUAUCUAACCUUUGCCUGGACUGCAAAUGGAUUCUGAAUUGACUCAAAAGUUACAAUUAACUCUGUACCACAAGCAAAUAAUACUUUUUGACCGAGACUGGGUUACAAAAGAGGUAAUUACAUUGUCUACAUUGUGUGCAUCCACUGACGUGACGUGACGUGCCGCGACGUGCCGCAAUGGCUUGACACUGUCUUCAAUGGACACUUUGACACAAAUGUUCUAAACCUUUAAUUUGUGUCGUAGCGCCAGCACGUGCAGUGUAAAAUGGAACACAACACCCGUUUAUUGUUGGCACGUCUGCAUCGGACACUUCCAGUGUAGACAGCAUCAUUGAUUAUAAUGGGGUUCUACUGCUUUUGACGCAAUGCGCCGCUCGCGACCGGUGUAGAUAAGGUAUUAGUGUUCUGAUAUUCUGAAUUUUUUAAUGAUAUACUCCCUCUGUUCAAGGAAUGCAAAACAUACUAUAAUUUGUUCUUUAUUUGUUCUUUAUUUAUUUUUAUUUUUUUCAUUUGUAAAUGGUAAUUAAUUGAUUAACACUUGGAUGGUCUUAACGAUCAUGUCUCUACUUUGAACCUGCCGGGUCAAAUUGACCCGUUUUUUAUCCGUGUUCCCUCUAUCUCUCUACUUUUGGUCUUAAAUUGUUAAAUUGCAGCAAACACUAGAAUUUUAUUUUUCUCUGUCAUCUUCUAUCACAAUAUACACAUUUAAAAGUCAGGGGACAUCCAAAUGUGGUUUGUGACUCUGUCUAUAGACAUCCAGUAAAUUUUGAGAAGCCCUGCCCUUCCCCCAUGUUGUAGAAUAUCUCGGCCUCUGA
Myxocyprinus asiaticus (Chinese sucker) is the source of this 2122-nucleotide long non-coding RNA. RefSeq lists it as uncharacterized. The record is from RefSeq and is a predicted model, not a curated record. The transcript has 3 exons. NCBI's taxonomy places the organism in Eukaryota, Metazoa, Chordata, Actinopteri, Cypriniformes, Catostomidae.